GGCAGAUAGAUCUUGACCUGAUAAACAAUAUUACCCCCAUGUCAGAUUUGCUCUAAAUGCUUUGGUUUUUGAGUUAUAAGCCAAAAACUGCAUUUGACCCCUAUGUUCUAUUUUUAGCAAUGGCGACCAUGUUUGUUGAUAGAUCAUAACUUCGGAUACAAUUUACAAACUAGAUACCCUAAGGAACAUUCAAUUAAAGUUUGGAAGUAUUUGGCCAAGUAGUUUCAGAGGAGAAGAUUUUUGUAAAAGAUUACUAAGAUUUACGAAAAAUGGUUAAAAAUCGACUAUAAAGGGCAAUAACUCCUAAAGGGGUCAACUGACCAUUUCCGUCAUGUUGACUUAUUUGUAAAUCUUACUUUGCUGAAAAUUAUUCCUGUUUACAGUUUAUCUCUAUCUAUAAUAAUAUUCAAG
This 411-nucleotide long non-coding RNA is filed under the name Mytilus galloprovincialis (Mediterranean mussel). Lineage: Eukaryota; Metazoa; Mollusca; Bivalvia; Mytilida; Mytilidae. The record is from RNAcentral.